This 429-nucleotide ribosomal RNA is filed under the name Chloroflexota bacterium. Its description in RNAcentral is "Chloroflexi bacterium partial 16S ribosomal RNA". It matches the Rfam family "Bacterial small subunit ribosomal RNA", at positions 355 to 776 of the family's 1533-position model. Lineage: Bacteria; Bacillati; Chloroflexota. The record is from RNAcentral.
UGGGGAAUAUUGCACAAUGGGCGCAAGCCUGAUGCAGCCAUGCCGCGUGUAUGAAGAAGGCCUUCGGGUUGUAAAGUACUUUCAGUCGGGAGGAAGGUGGUAAGGUUAAUAACCUUGGCAAUUGACGUUACCGACAGAAGAAGCACCGGCUAACUCCGUGCCAGCAGCCGCGGUAAUACGGAGGGUGCAAGCGUUAAUCGGAAUUACUGGGCGUAAAGCGCACGCAGGCGGUUGAUUGAGUCAGAUGUGAAAUCCCCGGGCUUAACCCGGGGAAUGCAACUGGUACUUGUCAGCUAGAGUCUUGAAGAAGGGGGUAGAAUUCCAUGUGUAGCGGUGAAAUGCGUAGAGAUGUGGAGGAAUACCGGUGGCGAAGGCGGCCCCCUGGACAAAGACUGACGCUCAGGUGCGAAAGCGUGGGGAGCAAACAGG